This 201-nucleotide non-coding RNA is filed under the name unclassified sequences. The record is from Rfam.
UGCGUGGGCGUGCGUGGCGGAACCAAAACCGCUAAAGUGAAGCGGCGCAUGAAGAAGCGAGUAGCGGUUUUACUCGCGGAAACAUUAAGGGGAGUACCAGUUCCUGUUUCGCGAGAGAUGGGUUCCGUUGGAUCCUGCGAUGCGCCCCGGGUAACCAAAUUUGGGGCCGUCUGCCGAUGAAACCGCCACCGGCAGUGCGUG